RNAcentral lists this long non-coding RNA (1088 nucleotides) under Parus major (Great Tit). RNAcentral describes it as "lncRNA (ENSPMJG00000014161.1)". Lineage: Eukaryota; Metazoa; Chordata; Aves; Passeriformes; Paridae. The record is from RNAcentral.
CUGGAAAUCAGGUUUAAUUAUUAGCUAAUUGUCUGGGAUGUAUCUCAUUUGAAAGAAACGAAGAGAGGAAUGUUGUGAGGCUGUGGUUGGCGCAAGUGGAGCUGGUUAACUCCUGGUUAAGCUGGCAUAGGAACCUGUUAUCCUGCUCUCUAGGAGGGGUUCUGUGGUGUCCUGAUGCCUUUUUCAUCUGUGUGUCCACAAGAAUUGGUGGAUGUCACCUGCAGGCUGUCACCCACCAGGCCUUCUUGCUCGUGAACAAGGCUUUGGGGAUUUCCUGCCACAGUGCUUCAUGGGCUGAUGCCCUCAGGAAGACAGGAGUCAGGAAGCAGAAGAGCUGAGUCACCCCUCCAGAAGACAUUUCCCACCACAGAUGGAUGUUCUGCCAUGUGAUCCUGGUAUCUCUUUUUGCUGGAGGAGCUCCUGUGUCACUCCCAGGCCUGGGUGAGGGUGACAUUCCUCCAGUGGCAUUGCUACAGCAAAGGCAAACUCACCAUCAGUGUAUGCUGCAGAACAAGUAAAUCCUCUCUGUUUGGAAGCAUCCCUGUCUGCACUGAGACCUUGCCUUUGGAAGGUGAUAAUGUGAAAAACAUCCUGUGACGUUUUUGCAUUUGUUCUCUGGGAGCCAUCCAUCAUUUCUAGCACCGUGACUUCUGGGUGACUCCUCUGUGCUUCUCCCUGCCACUGUGUGCCAGCUUUGUGCCAAUAAUCUUGGAUGACAGUUAUGGAGGUCUAAAUUCAUCCCUCAUUUCUGUUAUAUAUUGCCUGUGAUUUAAAGCCACUUAAAUAUAUAUUGCCUGUGAUAUAAAGUCACUUAAUUGUCUUGUUUCUCUUCUGUAACAUAAUACUGCGUUUUUCCUCCCUGUCAUCUGCCUGCUCUCUGUGGAUCCAGGGAGAGCUCUCUUGGGUGCAGGUGUCUCAGCAGACUCUUUGGAACAAACAAACUACUUUAGGUGAUUAACUUCUGGAUUUGGAACUGAAGAUAUUUCAGUUUCCCUCAGUUCACUGCUAACCAGAGUGAGAUCUUCAUGAGACUUUCUGCAAUAUUUAAAUCCCAACUACUGGAGUUCACUGAUUUUGUGAGAAUCUUG